Molecule: long non-coding RNA, 3025 nt
Filed under: Sarcophilus harrisii (Tasmanian devil)
Lineage: Eukaryota; Metazoa; Chordata; Mammalia; Dasyuromorphia; Dasyuridae
Description: lncRNA (ENSSHAG00000032365.1)
Source: RNAcentral
AUGGAAAGUCUCCCCGAGGGUCCCAUGGGAGGCCGGGACGGACACGGGCGGCUAGUGGGUGACGGAGCCGCCCCUCCCAGUUCCCUGGGGGGCUCUUCGUGUUUGCCCCCCCCCCGCCGCCCCCAUCGGCCUGAGCAGCGCUUGCCCCCCCUCCGGGGCAGGAGGAGGCCGCUGGCCCCAGACGCUGCCCCCCCACACGCCACAGGCCUCCGACUAUGGAAAUAUCCCCCAUCACUCAUGCUCUCACUCAUCACUCAGUGCCCCCCCCAGAGCCAGCUGGGGCUCCCACCCACCGCCGACCCCCCGGCCCCGCCCGCUCCCAGAAUAGCCGCGGGCAGAGACGGCUCCUCGGCCAGGGCCCGCAGGCGCAGCAGCCAGUCCUCGGCCUGCUCCAGGGCGGCCAUCAGGCCCCGGGGCCCCGGGCGGCCGCUCCAGGGGCCGGCAGCUGGCUCAGGGUGCUGGUACGCAGGCGGUACAGGUAGUGGUCCAGGUGUGUGGCUGCCGGCUUCUCCCUGACGUCCACCAGAGGCUGACUGUGCGCGGAGGGAGAAAGAAGCGAGUGGGUGCCCGAAGUGGCCUCCCUCGCCCUCCCGGUGGCGCCCAGGCCGAGGGGCCCGCGGGAGCGACACGAGGUCUUUAAGAAGGCCCAGGAAAACGCAGUUUUUCCCAAGCUCAUGAAGUGCUUUCUCCAUAACGCGUGGGAACAGGCGCUCCUGCGGCGUAAUUGUUCCCACUUACAGAUGAGGAAACCGAGGCUCAGAACCCAGAGGGAGACUCUCGGCCGGGGGGGCCGGACCCCUCCUCGCGGCCCCAAGUCCCGCGGGCUCCCACUGCGCCUCCCUGGGGGGCCUUGGGGGAGGCUGAGCUCGAUCAGGGGUAUCUGGGUUCGAAAGCUACCACGGCCAGUGGUGUGAGCCACCGCAGCCUCAUCUCUGAAGUGAAGGCCCCUUAUAGCUAGAAUGUGAGUCUCUGUGUCCCCAGCACUCAGUGCACAGUAGGUGCUUCUAAAUGUUUCCUUGAUACAGUGCCUACUGUGUGCCAAGCAUUCUGCUCGGCACUUUACAACAUUGUCCCAUUUGAGUUUCACAAUAACUGGGGGGAGGCACUAUUAUUAUCCCCAUUUUACAGAUGAGGAAACUGAGGGAAAAGGUGGUCUAUUGACUUGCCCACAGUCACCAGCCAGUAAGUGCCUGAGGCCAGAUUCGAACCCAGGAGCCAAGGACCGGACGCGCUGCAGUCGCGCUCACGUUUGAACAUUAAGUUCUACGUCUGGUUUGAGGAUAAAUGUGAGGCCCCGACGUGUGGCAGAGACCAGGCAGGUUAAGGGCCAAGAAGCCCGCUCCCCACGGGCCCCUCCAGGGAUCCCCCUAACCCCGAUCGCCCCAAGUGGGGGAGGGGCAGCUCGCCAGACCUGGGGGGAGGCUCUCCCUAACUGGGCAGGGGCUCCUUGAGGGGAGCGGGAGAAGCCUUUGUUCCCAUCAGAAUCGAGGUCUCCCCUGGGGAGGGGGGACCCCAAGCCCCCCAAGUCCGAAGCCUCCCUUUUGGGUGAGGGGCUCCAGCCUGGGGGGGGGGGCUCAUCCCCCACCUGCCCCCCCCCAGCAGAGGCAGCAGAAGGCCCGUCUGGGCCCCCGCUCCCGGCUCCACGCUGAUUUAUUUCCCUGCCAAGCUCCCGAAAGGAUGCAGAAGAAUUACCCCUGAAAGGGCACCAGGUGCCCGGCCGCCCCAGACACGCUGCCUUUCAGCCGGGUUGCCGCCAAAAUUUUUCCUGUUAUUUUUUUUAAUUGAAUUUCAAAGGGGGGCGGGCAGGGAGGGGGGCCGAGUGCCGGCUCCAGCUCGGGGAAACCGGAGCCCGGGGCCUGGUUCGGGUCACGUAGCUUGGCUGGGGCUGGCUCUGAGGCCCGUGAGCCGGGCUGGGGCGGGGCCCCUCGCGGGGGCCGGGGGUCCUUCCCAGGGGGCCCAGAGCCGCAGCCCCCGGCCAGGGGCCCCGCCUGCCAGUGAGGGGGCCGGGGGGGGGGGGGGGCCCAGGCAGCCCCUGGAAGGAGAAGCCCCGCUGGGGAUUUAUGUCUGCAGCUGAGGGACAGCGGCCGGGGCAGGCCGGGAGGCCGGCCCCUGAGGGGAGGUUUUCAGGGAGGCCGAGAGCCGGCCCCCAGGCUAAGGAAAGCCCAGGCCCCUCCUGCUCCAGGAAAGCUGGGAGAGGGCGGGGGGACAGCCGGGAUCCUCAGUAUCUGCCUGGGGGGAGGGGCAAAGAGGGGCACAGACACUGCCAGAGGUGACGGCCCUGAGUGUUCUGCCUGGCUUUGGGACCAGGCCAGAGACUGCGCCCAGGAGGGGCGGGCGCCGCACAACACUCCCCAAGGGUGUCUGGGACGGAGCCCCAGAACGGCCCGCCUCCUGUGGGGCAGGAACUCCCAGUGCACCGAGGACUGGGGGGAUCUCAGGCCCCGCCUUUGGGGGACCCCUGAUCUAAUGCAGCUGAGAAGGGAGGGAAACAUCAGGGAAGCUUUUCCCGAGAGGGAGAAAGGGAACACCCGCCCCUCCCCCAGAAGGGCAGAUCCCUGAGGGCAGGCACCCUUUGCCCUUGCACCCCACCCACCCACAUCCUCGCCCCAUAAGGAGCCCUUAACGAGCACUUGUUGGAGGGUCCCUGAGUGUGGGAGUCAGAGCAUUCGCCGCAGGACCCUCCACUGCCCCCAAGGCUGGAUGGCUGGCAUGUGGGCAUGGGGCAGCGUGUGGGCAUCGGCUGGCAUGUGGGUGUGGGCAGUGUGUGGGCAUCGGCUGGCACGAUGGCAUGGGGUGGUGUGUGGGCAUCGGCUGGCAUGUGGGUGUGGGCAGUGUGUGGGCAUCGGCUGGCACGAUGGCAUGGGGCAGCAUGUGGGCAUCGGCUGGCACGUGGGCAUGGGCUGCCCGGGACGCCCCCGCUCCCCCACCCCAGCAGGCUCCCAAGGACAGCAUCUUGCGCAUAAGUCUUUGCUGACCGGAGGGAUGGAGAACACGGCCGGCGGCACCUAGGGGGCCUCGCUUUGUG